Small RNA from Francisella tularensis subsp. tularensis, 115 nucleotides. It matches the Rfam family "Francisella sRNA B". From Rfam's summary of the family: Deletion led to significant changes in the expression of several mRNAs. NCBI's taxonomy places the organism in Bacteria, Pseudomonadati, Pseudomonadota, Gammaproteobacteria, Thiotrichales, Francisellaceae. The record is from Rfam.
AUGAUACUAACUUAACGUCGGUAGUCAUUCCCGCGUAGGCGGGAAUCUCUUUAAUUGCUAUGAGGUUCCUGUGUCAAGCACGAGGAUUAUAAGUUAAAUCUCUAGUAUAAUUUUU